Molecule: long non-coding RNA, 321 nt
Organism: Dendronephthya gigantea
Lineage: Eukaryota; Metazoa; Cnidaria; Anthozoa; Malacalcyonacea; Nephtheidae
Exons: 3
Source: RefSeq, a predicted model, not a curated record
CAUUGGAAAUGACAAGAUUUCUGCGCAAAGAUUUUUCUUGGUCAAGAGUGCAACAUAUGAGCUGUGGAUAUGAACUUUACUGUCAGGUGAACAUUGGAAGUGACAAGAUUUCUGCACAGAGAAUGAAUGAAGUUUAAGAAAGUUGAAAGGCACCCCUGAAGAACCUGAAUUAUUUUAGCCCUAUCCUAGAUUCAUUAAUUAAUAUAUUUUAGUGUGUGAUAACAUGUGUGAAAUGUGAUCAAUUAUGUGACAAUCUUCAAAACUUGGAUUUAUAAAGAGAAAUUUUUCUUUGUAAAGCUUAAGAAGUAAACUUUUUUGUCU